RNAcentral lists this non-coding RNA (22 nucleotides) under Mus musculus (house mouse). The record is from RNAcentral. Lineage: Eukaryota; Metazoa; Chordata; Mammalia; Rodentia; Muridae.
UGGGAGCCAAGCCCAGAUGCUC